This 301-nucleotide ribosomal RNA is filed under the name uncultured bacterium. RNAcentral's name for it is "partial 16S ribosomal RNA". It matches the Rfam family "Bacterial small subunit ribosomal RNA", at positions 509 to 807 of the family's 1533-position model. The record is from RNAcentral.
CAGUCGCCACGGGAAUACGCAGGUGGCAAGCGUCGUCCGGAAUUAUUGGGCGUAAAGGGCUCGCAGGCGGUUUCUUAAGUCUGAUGUGAAAGCCCCCGGCUCAACCGGGGAGGGUCAUUGGAAACUGGGAAACUUGAGUGCAGAAGAGGAGAGUAGAAUUCCACGUGUAGCGGUGAAAUGCGUAGAGAUGUGGAGGAACACCAGUGGCGAAGGCGACUCUCUGGUCUGUAACUGACGCUGAGGAGCGAAAGCGUGGGGAGCGAACAGGAUUAGAUACCCCUGUAGUCCCUGUCUCUUAUAC